AGCGAACGUUAGCGGCGGGCCUAACACAUGCAAGUCGAACGCGAAAGGUCUUCGGACUGAGUAGAGUGGCGCACGGGUGAGUAACACGUAGGUAAUCUACCCUUUGGCGGGGGAUAACGUUCCGAAAGGAGCGCUAAUACCGCAUAAGACCACGGAGUCUCCGGACGCUGUGGGAAAAGGUGGCCUCUUCUUGAAAGCUACCACCGAAGGAUGAGCCUGCGUCCCAUCAGCUAGUUGGUAAGGUAAUGGCUUACCAAGGCGAAGACGGGUAGCUGGUUUGAGAGAAUGAUCAGCCACACUGGCACUGGAACACGGGCCAGACUCCUACGGGAGGCAGCAGCGAGGAAUAUUGGGCAAUGGGCGAAAGCCUGACCCAGCCACGCCGCGUGAGUGAUGGAGGCCCUCGGGUCGUAAAGCUCUGUGGAGAGGGACGAAAACCCUGGUUUCAAAUAGGCUCCAGGCUUGACGGUACCUCUUUAGCAAGCACCGGCUAACUCUGUGCCAGCAGCCGCGG
This 514-nucleotide ribosomal RNA is filed under the name uncultured bacterium. RNAcentral's name for it is "bacterial SSU rRNA". It matches the Rfam family "Bacterial small subunit ribosomal RNA", at positions 29 to 520 of the family's 1533-position model. The record is from RNAcentral.